RNAcentral lists this ribosomal RNA (324 nucleotides) under Triticum aestivum (bread wheat). Its description in RNAcentral is "partial small subunit ribosomal RNA". Lineage: Eukaryota; Viridiplantae; Streptophyta; Magnoliopsida; Poales; Poaceae. The record is from RNAcentral.
AUGGCUACAGGUGGGACACUGUUGUACAAAACUUGCAAAUACGAUUGCCAGCAACUCAUGGCAUUUACUUGUAAGGACACAAAGGCUGGAAUUGGGAGCCCCAUUAUUGCUGCUGAUGGAAAAUUCAUAGGCAUGAGCUUUUUUUAUAAGGAUGGAGCUCCUUUCUUACCAAUCACUAUCCUCCAGAAAUGCUUAAAGCACUUCAAUGAAUUUGGGAGAGUUCUGCAGCCAUGGCAUGGUCUGAGGACUGGAUCACUUCAAGCUGAAAAACUGUGUGUCCGUGAAGAAGUACAUGACAGCUUCCCCCAUGCACAUGGCAUUUAA